UACCAAGACAUUGGAACUAUGGGCUCAACUGCUGUACGAAAUAAGGAGCAUUUCACAUAUUAUUGUACUGGGGUCAUCUUCGAGAACAUCAAAGACAGAUAAACAGACAAACACAGAAGAAAAUCACUGCCCUACCUGUAGAAGAUAAUAUCGGAAUCUGUGACUAGAUUAUUGGGUUUGCUGAUUUCUAUGAUGGGCAUUUAUACAUAGGAAGAACUGACCCCAUCAAAAUCAGUGGUCAUUAAAAUGCUUUCUUCUAGACCAAAGAGCCUGGUUCAGAGGAGAAUUGCAAUUAUUGUCCUGAAAAGCCUGAUGGCUGGUCUUCACAAAAACAGAGCAGUCACUUUGAAGGAGAGAGAGCUCUUUAUUAUGCAGCUAAUAAAGGCUAUACCAGAUGUUCUAAGAGGCUCACCUAAACGACCUGAAGAGGAAGAAGGAUUCCUAUACCCUAUACUUCCAUAGUCUUAAAACAAUAGAAAAUGUCAGCUGACUAUUGUUUCCACGUCUGUAGGAAAGAGAAGAAUGUAUUACUAGAGGUGCCACAUUUCUUCCCCUCUCAUAAGAAAGUUUAAGGAAACAAAUAUUUUCUCCAAAUUAAUGUGUGCCUUUUUCAAUGCCAAAGACUUGGCUCUCCCAGACAUUGUUAUACAUUAUGUUUAGACUUCUAAAAUGAUCCACACAUAAACACUCAAAAAUAUAUUUUUGCUACUUUAGGGAUUAAGUUGGCUAGGGGCGCCUAGGGUGGGAACUAAUUAUGGAUUUCAAAAUUAUUUCUGGGGAAUGUCACCCAAGUUCCAAAAAGCAGACUAUUAAUACUUAGAAGAUAACCCACGUGGAAGUCGGGGACUAUUUCUAUCAGGUGUAAAGUCUGAAUGAUAUUAACUCAAACAUUUUAACAAGAUAGUUCAAUUUAUGGGUAACAAUACAAAAUAAAAUAACAGGUUGUGAAAAUAUAAUGAUGAAU
RNAcentral lists this long non-coding RNA (964 nucleotides) under Felis catus (domestic cat). RNAcentral's name for it is "lncRNA (ENSFCAG00000046882.1)". The record is from RNAcentral. Lineage: Eukaryota; Metazoa; Chordata; Mammalia; Carnivora; Felidae.